GGGCUGGUCUCCUGUGCCUGCUGUGCUGAUAAUCAGUGGACGGCUGUGACUGGCUCAGUUCAGCAGGAACAGGGGCCUGGUC
Molecule: non-coding RNA, 82 nt
Organism: Danio rerio (zebrafish)
Lineage: Eukaryota; Metazoa; Chordata; Actinopteri; Cypriniformes; Danionidae
Gene: mir24-2
Product: microRNA 24-2
Source: RefSeq, marked provisional